GGGAUCAAUCCCCAUCAAAACUAACUUGAUUACAUGAUAGAUUUCAUCCUACUCAUCACCGCCCAGCGAGCCUACGAAUAGAUUACUCAUGAACAACGAAGAGCUUCAUGGAAUUGGAGAGGGAAGAAGGUUGACGAUGACGAUGGCGACGAUUUCCCCUCUCCGGAGCCCAAGACGGACUCCAGAUCUGCCCUCCAGAUGAAGAACAGGUGGUGGCGGCGCCUCCUUAUCGAAAACACGACAAAACUUCUCUCUUUAUUUUUUCUGGGACGAAAGUGAACUUAUAGACCUGAGGUUGGGGGUGGCAGAGCCGUGUGGGCCCCAAAAGCCUGCCCACCGCCACCAGGGUGGGUGGUGGCGGAGCCAGGGCUUGUGGCCCACUGGCCCACCCCCUCACGUGGAACUUGGCGCAGAUAUUUUUCUUAUUUUCCAAAACUGCUCCCCGUAAAUUUUCAGGACGUUUGGAGAACUUUGAUUUCUGCACAAAAAUAACACCAAGGCAAUUCUGCUGAAAACAGCGUCAGUCCACGUUAGUUCGAUUCAAAUCAUGCAAAUUAGAGCCCAAAACAAGUCCGCGUAUCAACUCCCCCAAGCUUAAAACCUUGCUUGUCCUCAAGCAACUCAGUUG
This 628-nucleotide long non-coding RNA is filed under the name Hordeum vulgare. RNAcentral describes it as "long non-coding RNA (HVUL_LNC015111)". The record is from RNAcentral. Lineage: Eukaryota; Viridiplantae; Streptophyta; Magnoliopsida; Poales; Poaceae.